This 254-nucleotide ribosomal RNA is filed under the name uncultured bacterium. RNAcentral describes it as "partial 16S ribosomal RNA". It matches the Rfam family "Bacterial small subunit ribosomal RNA", at positions 524 to 776 of the family's 1533-position model. The record is from RNAcentral.
UACGUAGGGUGCGAGCGUUAAUCGGAAUUACUGGGCGUAAAGCGUGCGCAGGCGGUUUUGUAAGCCAGAUGUGAAAUCCCCGGGCUUAACCUGGGAAUGGCAUUUGGGACUGCAAGGCUGGAGUACGGCAGGAGGAGACUGGAAUUCCUGGUGUAGCAGUGAAAUGCGUAGAGAUCGGGAGGAACAUCUGUGGCGAAGGCGACUGCCUGGACCAGCACUGACACUGAGGCACGAAAGCGUGGGGAGCAAACAGG